Molecule: ribosomal RNA, 378 nt
Filed under: uncultured eukaryote
Lineage: Eukaryota
Description: partial 18S ribosomal RNA
Rfam family: Eukaryotic small subunit ribosomal RNA
Source: RNAcentral
CAAUAGCGUAUAUUUAAGUUGUUGCAGUUAAAAAGCUCGUAGUUGGAUUUCGGGUGGGACGCAGCGGUCUCGCAUUGCGUUUGUACUGCUGCAGCCCUCCUUCUUGCCGGGGGCGGCCUCUCGGACUUCACUGUCUGGGGGUCAGAAUCGGCGAUGUUACUUUGAGUAAAUUAGAGUGUUCAAAGCAAGCUUACGCUCUGAAUAUAAUAGCAUGGGAUAACACGACAGGACUCUGGCCUAUCGUGUUGGUCUAUAGGACCAGAGUAAUGAUUAAGAGGGACAGUCGGGGGCAUUCGUAUUCCGUUGUCAGAGGUGAAAUUCUUGGAUUUAUGAAAGACGAACUUCUGCGAAAGCAUUUGCCAAGGAUGUUUUCAUUGA